AGUGAACGCUGGCGGUAGGCCUAACACAUGCAAGUCGAACGGCAGCACAGUAAGAGCUUGCUCUUACGGGUGGCGAGUGGCGGACGGGUAAGGAAUACAUCGGCAUCUACUUUUUCGUGGGGGAUAACGUAGGGAAACUUACGCUAAUACCGCAUACUACCUACGGGUGAAAUCAGGGGAUCUUCGGACCUUGCCCGAUUGAAUGAGCCGAUGUCGGAUUAGCUAGUUGGCGGGGUAAAGGCCCACCAAGGCGACGAUCCGUAGCUGGUCUGAGAGGAUGAUCAGCCACACUGGAACUGAGACACGGUCCAGACUCCUACGGGAGGCAGCAGUGGGGAAUCUUGGACAAUGGGCGCAAGCCUGAUCCAGCCACACCGCGUGGGUGAAGAAGGCCUUCGGGUUGUAAAGCCCUUUUGUUGGGAAAGAAAAGCAGCAGGUUAAUCCCCCGCUGUUCUGACGGUACCCAAAGAAUAAGCACCGGCUAACUUCGUG
Molecule: ribosomal RNA, 492 nt
Filed under: uncultured bacterium
Lineage: Bacteria
Description: partial 16S ribosomal RNA
Rfam family: Bacterial small subunit ribosomal RNA
Source: RNAcentral